UACGAAGGGUGCAAGCGUUAAUCGGAAUUACUGGGCGUAAAGCGUGCGUAGGUGGUUUUUUAAGUCUGCUGUGAAAGCCCUGGGCUCAACCUGGGAAUGGCGGUGGAUACCGAAAAGCUAGAGUGCGGUAGAGGAGGGUGGAAUUCCCGGUGUAGCGGUGAAAUGCGUAGAUAUCGGAAGGAACAUCAGUGGCGAAAGCGACUUCCUGGACCAAUACUGACGCUCAUGUGCGAAAGCGUGGGGAGCAAACAGG
This 253-nucleotide ribosomal RNA is filed under the name uncultured bacterium. Its description in RNAcentral is "partial 16S ribosomal RNA". It matches the Rfam family "Bacterial small subunit ribosomal RNA", at positions 524 to 776 of the family's 1533-position model. The record is from RNAcentral.